GUGAGGAAUUUUCCGCAAUGGGCGAAAGCCUGACGGAGCAAUGCCGCGUGAAGGAUGAAGGCCUAUGGGUUGUAAACUUCUUUUCUCAGAAAAGAAUUAUGACGGUAUCUGAGGAAUAAGCAUCGGCUAACUCUGUGCCAGCAGCCGCGGUAAGACAGAGGAUGCAAGCGUUAUCCGGAAUGAUUGGGCGUAAAGCGUCUGUAGGUUGUUUAAAAAGUAUUCUGUCAAAGAUUAGGGCUUAACCCUAGAUAGGCAGAAUAAACUUUUAAGCUAGAGUUUGGUAGAGGCAGAGGGAAUUCCCGGUGGAGCGGUGAAAUGCGUCGAUAUCGGGAGGAACACCAAAGGCGAAGGCACUCUGCUGGGCCAAUACUAACACUGAGAGACGAAAGCGAGGGGAGCAAAUGGGAUUAGAUACCCCAGUAGUCC
RNAcentral lists this ribosomal RNA (426 nucleotides) under uncultured bacterium. RNAcentral describes it as "bacterial SSU rRNA". It matches the Rfam family "Bacterial small subunit ribosomal RNA", at positions 354 to 796 of the family's 1533-position model. The record is from RNAcentral.